CAAUAGCGUAUAUUAAAGUUGUUGCAGUUAAAAAGCUCGUAGUUGAAUUUUUGCUUGCCGCCGAUGUCGGAACUUCCGUACGUUCGGCGGCGUGCAUCCUUGGGUGGAACCUGUGUGGCAUUAGGUUGUCGUGCAGGGGAUGCUCAUCGUUUACUGUGAAAAAAUUAGAGUGUUCAAAGCAGGCUUACGCCGUUGAAUAUAUUAGCAUGGAAUAAUAAGAUAGGACCUUGGUACUAUUUUGUUGGUUUGCGCACCGAGGCAAUGAUUAACAGGGACAGUUGGGGGUAUUCGUAUUCCAUUGUCAGAGGUGAAAUUCUUGGAUUUCUGGAAGACGAACUACUGCGAAAGCAUUUACCAAGGAUGUUUUCAUUAA
Molecule: ribosomal RNA, 373 nt
Filed under: uncultured eukaryote
Lineage: Eukaryota
Description: partial 18S ribosomal RNA
Rfam family: Eukaryotic small subunit ribosomal RNA
Source: RNAcentral